UGGCUGCUGGAAUAUGGUAUUUUAGCUGAGAGUUUUGCUGGAAGGCUUGCUGUUGGAAUACUUGCAUUAAUUUUUGGAAGUUUUGUUGGAUACCUUAGCUUGGUGGUUGGAGUUUUAAUUGCUUUUCUUGGAGUUUGAUUGGAAUUUAAUUGUUAUUUUAUACUGUGGGAUCAUUUUUUCAAUUUGAAAUGUUUUAUUAUGUAUUAGUGGUGAUCACAUUGGAGACUAAUUGUAUUUCUUUUAAAAUUAAUUUGUUAGAUUGAA
This 264-nucleotide long non-coding RNA is filed under the name Citrus sinensis (sweet orange). RNAcentral's name for it is "long non-coding RNA (CSIN_LNC003462)". Lineage: Eukaryota; Viridiplantae; Streptophyta; Magnoliopsida; Sapindales; Rutaceae. The record is from RNAcentral.